Pieris rapae (cabbage white) is the source of this 203-nucleotide long non-coding RNA. RefSeq lists it as uncharacterized. NCBI's taxonomy places the organism in Eukaryota, Metazoa, Arthropoda, Insecta, Lepidoptera, Pieridae. The record is from RefSeq and is a predicted model, not a curated record. The transcript is spliced from 3 exons.
AAAACGUUCGAUGAUCUCUAGAAAUAAUUUGUAUUCAAAUGAAUUUUAAUCAUCUUCUAAUUGGUUGUUUACAGGUUACGUGCCCUGAAACACAUAAUAUGGAGACGCGUCUCUCGAAACGGCGUAUGGCGUCAAGCGUCGAGACACCCGCGAAACGAAAGGCUGAUAGCGAGAAAACUAACAGUGAUAAUACAGGCGUAACC